This is a long non-coding RNA of Trichoplusia ni (cabbage looper), 384 nucleotides long. RefSeq lists it as uncharacterized. The transcript has 2 exons. The record is from RefSeq and is a predicted model, not a curated record. NCBI's taxonomy places the organism in Eukaryota, Metazoa, Arthropoda, Insecta, Lepidoptera, Noctuidae.
UGCUUUGAUUGCUCACGUUUUAAAUUAUUCGAGGUAACACUUCACAUUUGCUUAUAAGCAAAGACAUGUUGGUUAGCGAUCAUUACUUUCUAGUGCUGAUAUAAUAUUUGGUUCAAUACCAUACCCCAGCUACUGGUUUUCAGCUAAAAUCUAGAAAGUAAAUCGUUCAACAAAACAUAAGUUUUACUUCUGAAUAUCUUUAGUGUAAGUUUAGUAUACUCGUACUUCAUCGCCACCUAAUUUGCCAGAAUUCACACCAGUAAAGAUGUCGGACUGCGAGAGUGACAUCGUUCCCUUCAACAAUGAACGUAAAAUAGAAAGUUCCCAUAAACGGACAACAUCGACAGGCAAACGCAAGACACCCACAAAAUCUGCUAUUAUAAG